Molecule: transfer RNA, 69 nt
Filed under: Chrotogale owstoni (Owston's palm civet)
Lineage: Eukaryota; Metazoa; Chordata; Mammalia; Carnivora; Viverridae
Description: tRNA-Phe
Rfam family: tRNA
About the family: Transfer RNA (tRNA) molecules are approximately 80 nucleotides in length.
Source: RNAcentral
GUUAAUGUAGCUUAAUUUAUAAAGCAAAGCACUGAAAAUGCUUAGAUGAGCCACCAGGCUCCAUAAACA